Molecule: transfer RNA, 68 nt
Filed under: Colochirus quadrangularis
Lineage: Eukaryota; Metazoa; Echinodermata; Holothuroidea; Dendrochirotida; Cucumariidae
Description: tRNA-Thr
Rfam family: tRNA
About the family: Transfer RNA (tRNA) molecules are approximately 80 nucleotides in length.
Source: RNAcentral
GCCAUAAAGCAACGAAAGCAUUUCAAUCUUGUAAAUUGAAAAAGAAAGUUUAAUUCUUUCUUAUGGCU